CAAGCGGUAAAAAGCGCGCGUCGUGUUUAACAUCAUAUCAGAGUUUCGCAAAUUUUACAUCAUGCCAAAUACAAAAUGCUCAGGCGACAUGGAGGAUUGUGUGAUGCCAGUACGUUCUGCUAAUCCGAUACGCGCUAGAAGUUUGAUCCGAGACAAUUUGGAGAAACAGGCUGGUUGUCUAAAUCUAAUACACUCCAGAAUGCCAAACAUUAAAGUGUUUUCGGGCACCUCGCAUCCGGAUUUGGCGCAGCGUAUUGUCGAUCGCCUUGGCAUCGACCUGGGCAAAGUGGUCACCAAGAAGUUUAGCAAUUUGGAAACAUGUGUCGAGAUCGGAGAAUCGGUGCGCGGCGAAGAUGUUUAUAUCGUACAGUCCGGUUCCGGGGAGAUCAAUGAUAAUUUAAUGGAGCUGCUGAUCAUGAUAAAUGCAUGCAAAAUAGCAUCAGCCUCUCGUGUUACAGCUGUGAUUCCUUGCUUUCCAUAUGCCCGCCAAGACAAAAAAGAUAAGGCCCAUGCACAGAGCCGUGCGCCCAUCUCGGCGAAAUUGGUCGCUAAUAUGCUAUCAGUGGCCGGUGCGGAUCAUAUUAUAACCAUGGAUCUACAUGCCUCACAGAUUCAGGGUUUCUUCGAUAUACCAGUUGAUAAUCUCUAUGCCGAGCCGGCGGUACUCAAAUGGAUCAAAGAGAACAUUCCCGAAUGGAAAAAUUCGAUUAUCGUAUCGCCCGAUGCUGGCGGCGCCAAGCGUGUCACCUCGAUUGCGGAUCGCUUGAACGUGGAGUUCGCGCUGAUACACAAGGAGCGCAAGAAGGCCAACGAGGUGGCCUCCAUGGUGCUCGUUGGUGAUGUUAAGGAUAAGAUUGCCAUAUUGGUCGACGAUAUGGCCGAUACAUGCGGCACCAUUGUCCAUGCCGCCGAUCGUCUCGUCGAAGCGGGCGCACACCAAGGUGUAUGCCAUACUGACGCACGGCAUUUUUUCGGGUCCGGCGAUUUCGCGCAUUAACAAUGCCUGCUUCGAGGCGGUCGUUGUGACCAAUACCAUACCACAGGAUGGCCAUAUGCGUGAUUGCCCCAAAAUACAGUGCAUUGAUGUGUCCAUGAUGUUCGCCGAGGCAGUUAGACGGACACACAAUGGCGAGAGUGUCUCGUAUCUCUUCUCAAAUGUUCCAUAUUA
This 1168-nucleotide unclassified non-coding RNA is filed under the name Drosophila virilis. RNAcentral describes it as "GJ13347". Lineage: Eukaryota; Metazoa; Arthropoda; Insecta; Diptera; Drosophilidae. The record is from RNAcentral.